This 346-nucleotide ribosomal RNA is filed under the name uncultured soil bacterium. Its description in RNAcentral is "bacterial SSU rRNA". It matches the Rfam family "Bacterial small subunit ribosomal RNA", at positions 26 to 373 of the family's 1533-position model. The record is from RNAcentral.
AGAUUGAACGCUGGCGGCAGGCCUAACACAUGCAAGUCGAGCGGUAGAGAGGUGCUUGCAUCUCUUGAGAGCGGCGGACGGGUGAGUAAUGCCUAGGAAUCUGCCUAGUGGUGGGGGAUAACGUUCGGAAACGGACGCUAAUACCGCAUACGUCCUACGGGAGAAAGCGGGGGACCUUCGGGCCUCGCGCCAUUAGAUGAGCCUAGGUCGGAUUAGCUAGUUGGUGAGGUAAUGGCUCACCAAGGCGACGAUCCGUAACUGGUCUGAGAGGAUGAUCAGUCACACUGGAACUGACGACACGGUCCAGACUCCGUACGGGAGCAGCAGGUGGGAAUAGUUGACUAAG